GGGCUUGACAUCCCACGAACCUGCCCGAAAGGGUUGGGUGCCCGCAAGGGAGCGUGGAGACAGGUGGUGCAUGGCUGUCGUCAGCUCGUGUCGUGAGAUGUUGGGUUAAGUCCCGCAACGAGCGCAACCCUCACCCCUUGUUGCCACCGGGUAAAGCCGAGCACUCUAGGGGAACUGCCAGCGUCAAGCUGGAGGAAGGCGAGGAUGACGUCAAGUCAUCAUGCCCCUUACGCCCUGGGCUACACACGUGCUACAAUGGCCGGCACAAAGGGAUGCAAGACCGCGAGGUGGAGCUAACCCCAAAAAACCGGUCUAAGUUCAGAUUGCAGUCUGCAACUCGACUGCAUGAAGGAGGAAUCGCUAGUAAUCGCGCAUCAGCACGGCGCGGUGAAUACGUUCCCGGGCCUUGUACACACCGCCCGUCACACCACGAAAGCUGGCUGUACUCGAAGUCGCUGAG
Molecule: ribosomal RNA, 460 nt
Filed under: uncultured Methylomirabilota bacterium
Lineage: Bacteria; Methylomirabilota (SeqCode)
Description: bacterial SSU rRNA
Rfam family: Bacterial small subunit ribosomal RNA
Source: RNAcentral